UACNGGAGGCAGCAGUGGGGANUAUUGGGCAAUGGCUGAAACUGCUGACCCAGCAACGCCGCGUGGUGGAUGAAGCCCUCUCGNGGUGUAAACACCUUUUCUGGGGGAAGAUANNGAUCGNACCCCCCAGGAAUAA
RNAcentral lists this ribosomal RNA (136 nucleotides) under uncultured bacterium. RNAcentral's name for it is "partial 16S ribosomal RNA". It matches the Rfam family "Bacterial small subunit ribosomal RNA", at positions 340 to 489 of the family's 1533-position model. The record is from RNAcentral.